ACCAGACUCCUACGGGAGGCAGCAGUGGGGGAUAUUGCACAAUGGGGGGAACCCUGAUGCAGCGACGCCGCGUGAAGGAAGAAGUAUCUCGGUAUGUAAACUUCUAUCAGCAGGGAAGAAAAUGACGGUACCUGACUAAGAAGCCCCGGCUAACUACGUGCCAGCAGCCGCGGUAAUACGUAGGGGGCAAGCGUUAUCCGGAUUUACUGGGUGUAAAGGGUGCGUAGACGGGACAGCAAGUUAGUUGUGAAAGCCCUCGGCUUAACUGAGGAACUGCAACUAAAACUAUUGUUCUUGAGUGCAGGAGAGGAAAGCGGAAUUCCUAGUGUAGCGGUGAAAUGCGUAGAUAUUAGGAGGAACGCCAGUGGCGAAGGCGGCUUUCUGGACUGUAACUGACGUUGAGGCACGAAAGUGUGGGGAGCAAACAGGAUUAGAUACCCCAGUAGUA
This 448-nucleotide ribosomal RNA is filed under the name uncultured bacterium. RNAcentral describes it as "bacterial SSU rRNA". It matches the Rfam family "Bacterial small subunit ribosomal RNA", at positions 330 to 795 of the family's 1533-position model. The record is from RNAcentral.